Molecule: non-coding RNA, 94 nt
Organism: Ricinus communis (castor bean)
Lineage: Eukaryota; Viridiplantae; Streptophyta; Magnoliopsida; Malpighiales; Euphorbiaceae
Source: Rfam
GGGGAUGCAGUGAUUAUAAAUAAAUUCCUCGUACUGAAAUGCCUUCUUUCUGGGCAUGACAGACUAUCUUAUACACCCAUAGAAUCUGAGCUCC